AGACAGCAGACAUGAACUUAGAGACACUGAGAGGACAUGGAUCAUCCAACACUGAUGCUGCUGGUGACUCUCUGCAGUUCAGGUACGACUCUGUUCUGCUCUUUAUCAAUCAAUUGAGAACCAAUCCAAACUUUAUUGGCCAGCAGCUGCACUGGGAGACUGGAGAGGAAGGUUCUGGAAGAAUGGAAAAAAGAGGUUGAAGACAAGUUUAAUAUGAGCUGGACCUUGGAGCGUGUGGAUGAUGUUUGCAAAUCCCUCGACUGUGGAUCUGUGGUGUCUAUGAGGAGAAUUGAAGGAACAUCUGAUUCUUAUAGAAUUAAUUUGGAGAUCAUCUGUUCAGGUCAGUGUCAUCA
RNAcentral lists this long non-coding RNA (353 nucleotides) under Oryzias javanicus (javanese ricefish). Its description in RNAcentral is "lncRNA (ENSOJAG00000022724.1)". Lineage: Eukaryota; Metazoa; Chordata; Actinopteri; Beloniformes; Adrianichthyidae. The record is from RNAcentral.